Molecule: ribosomal RNA, 461 nt
Filed under: uncultured bacterium
Lineage: Bacteria
Description: bacterial SSU rRNA
Rfam family: Bacterial small subunit ribosomal RNA
Source: RNAcentral
ACGCUGGCGCGUGCUUAACACAUGCAAGUCGAACGAUGAACCCGGAGCUUGCUCCGGUGGAUUAGUGGCGAACGGGUGAGUAACACGUGAGUAACCUGCCCUUGACUCUGGGAUAACUGCUAGAAUGGUAGCUAAUACCGGAUACGACCCUCGGAGGCAUCUCCAGGGGGUGGAAAGAAUUUCGGUCAAGGAUGGACUCGCGGCCUAUCAGCUAGUUGGUGAGGUAAAGGCUCACCAAGGCGACGACGGGUAGCCGGCCUGAGAGGGCGACCGGCCACACUGGGACUGAGACACGGCCCAGACUCCUACGGGAGGCAGCAGUGGGGAAUAUUGGGCAAUGGAGGAAACUCUGACCCAGCGACGCCGCGUGCGGGAUGAAGGCCUUCGGGUUGCAAACCGCUUUCAGCAGGGAAGAAGCGAAAGUGACGGUACCUGCAGAAGAAGCACCGGCUAACUAUGUG